AGCGAACGCUGGCGGCAGGCCUAGCACAUGCAAGUCGAACGAACUCUUCGGAGUUAGUGGCGGACGGGUGAGUAACACGUGGGAACGUGCCUUUAGGUUCGGAAUAACUCAGGGAAACUUGUGCUAAUACCGAAUGUGCCCUUCGGGGGAAAGAUUUAUCGCCUUUAGAGCGGCCCGCGUCUGAUUAGCUAGUUGGUGAGGUAAAGGCUCACCAAGGCGACGAUCAGUAGCUGGUCUGAGAGGAUGAUCAGCCACAUUGGGACUGAGACACGGCCCAAACUCCUACGGGAGGCAGCAGUGGGGAAUCUUGCGCAAUGGGCGAAAGCCUGACGCAGCCAUGCCGCGUGAAUGAUGAAGGUCUUAGGAUUGUAAAAUUCUUUCACCGGGGACGAUAAUGACGGUACCCGGAGAAGAAGCCCCGGCUAACUUCGU
RNAcentral lists this ribosomal RNA (432 nucleotides) under uncultured bacterium. Its description in RNAcentral is "partial 16S ribosomal RNA". It matches the Rfam family "Bacterial small subunit ribosomal RNA", at positions 29 to 506 of the family's 1533-position model. The record is from RNAcentral.